GAUGAACGCUGGCGGCGUGCCUAACACAUGCAAGUCGAGCGGAAAGACGCGGAGCGGGCUACUCUGAAGGUAGAGGCGGGCGGGUGAGGAAAAUGAGGAUAACUUGCCUAUGGGACUGGGAUAAGAAAGGGAGACCGAAGCCGAUACGGGAUCAUAGCUGGAAGGGGGGGGUUCAAAAGAGAAAGCGGGUUUUGAUGGGACCAGGACGUAUUAGCUAGUUGGUUGGGUAAGGGCGUACCAAGGCGGCGAUGCGUAGCAGACCUGAGAGGGCGACCAGCCACCCUGGAACUGAGACACGGUCCAGACUCCUACGGGAGGCAGCAGUGGCGAAUCUUGGCCAAUGGGCGAAAGCCUGACCCAGCCACGCCGCGUGUGUGAUGAAGGUCUUCGGAUCGUAAAACUCUUUUAGUUGGGAAGAACGACUGUAUCAGUAUCUAUGCCCGUCUUGACGGUACCUACAGAAUAAGCCCCGGCUAACUACGUG
This 484-nucleotide ribosomal RNA is filed under the name uncultured bacterium. RNAcentral's name for it is "partial 16S ribosomal RNA". It matches the Rfam family "Bacterial small subunit ribosomal RNA", at positions 28 to 507 of the family's 1533-position model. The record is from RNAcentral.